This 136-nucleotide ribosomal RNA is filed under the name Prolemur simus (greater bamboo lemur). Lineage: Eukaryota; Metazoa; Chordata; Mammalia; Primates; Lemuridae. The record is from RNAcentral.
GUCUACGGCCAUACCACCCUGAACGCGCCCGAUCUCGUCUGAUCUCGGAAGCUAAGCAGGGUCGGGCCUGCUUAGUACUUGGAUGGGAAAAUAAAAAUUACAUUUAUUCAACAUGAUGAUCAAUUCAGGCAGGACU